This 1193-nucleotide ribosomal RNA is filed under the name uncultured bacterium. RNAcentral's name for it is "bacterial SSU rRNA". It matches the Rfam family "Bacterial small subunit ribosomal RNA", at positions 135 to 1335 of the family's 1533-position model. The record is from RNAcentral.
ACAGAGGGAUAGCCCAGAGAAAUUUGGAUUAAUACCUCAUAGUAUUAUGAUGUGGCAUCACAUUAUAAUUAAAGUCACAACGGUAAAAGAUGGGCAUGCGUCCCAUUAGCUAGAUGGUAAGGUAACGGCUUACCAUGGCUACGAUGGGUAGGGGUCCUGAGAGGGAGAUCCCCCACACUGGUACUGAGACACGGACCAGACUCCUACGGGAGGCAGCAGUGAGGAAUAUUGGUCAAUGGACGCAAGUCUGAACCAGCCAUGCCGCGUGCAGGAUGACGGUCCUAUGGAUUGUAAACUGCUUUUGUACGAGAAGAAACAACAUUACGUGUAAUGUCUUGACGGUAUCGUAAGAAUAAGGAUCGGCUAACUCCGUGCCAGCAGCCGCGGUAAUACGGAGGAUCCAAGCGUUAUCCGGAAUCAUUGGGUUUAAAGGGUCUGUAGGCGGUUUGGUAAGUCAGUGGUGAAAGCCCAUCGCUCAACGGUGGAACGGCCAUUGAUACUGCCAGACUUGAAUUACUGGGAAGUAACUAGAAUAUGUAGUGUAGCGGUGAAAUGCUUAGAGAUUACAUGGAAUACCAAUUGCGAAGGCAGGUUACUACCAGUGGAUUGACGCUGAUGGACGAAAGCGUGGGGAGCGAACAGGAUUAGAUACCCUGGUAGUCCACGCCGUAAACGAUGGAUACUAGCUGUUGGUGGCAACAUCAGUGGCUAAGCGAAAGUGAUAAGUAUCCCACCUGGGGAGUACGGGCGCAAGCCUGAAACUCAAAGGAAUUGACGGGGGCCCGCACAAGCGGUGGAGCAUGUGGUUUAAUUCGAUGAUACGCGAGGAACCUUACCAAGGCUUAAAUGUAGUUUGACCGAUUUGGAAACAGAUCUUUCGCAAGACAGAUUACAAGGUGCUGCAUGGUUGUCGUCAGCUCGUGCCGUGAGGUGUCAGGUUAAGUCCUAUAACGAGCGCAACCCCUGUUGUUAGUUGCCAGCGAGUAAUGUCGGGAACUCUAGCAAGACUGCCGGUGCAAACCGUGAGGAAGGUGGGGAUGACGUCAAAUCAUCACGGCCCUUACGCCUUGGGCUACACACGUGCUACAAUGGCCGGUACAGAGAGCAGCCACUUCGUGAGGAGGAGCGAAUCUAUAAAACAGGUGCACAGUUCGGAUCGGAGUCUGCAACUCGACUCCGGAAGCUGGAAUCGC